This 2376-nucleotide long non-coding RNA is filed under the name Homo sapiens (human). RNAcentral describes it as "HSALNT0360185". The record is from RNAcentral. Lineage: Eukaryota; Metazoa; Chordata; Mammalia; Primates; Hominidae.
GCUCAGAGCCAGGGUCUCUGCUGGGGUCAGCGUCUGUACGCUAAAGCCAGGGCGCAAAGUGCGUGGGCACUGCGGACACUAGAGGCUUAUGGCGCUGGAAAUACAAGGCCGAGUUGCCGGCGCAAAGAGUUCCCCGGGCGGGUUGGUGAUGCGGCGCGCUUUGAUAACAGGUUAAUCCGGCCAACAUUCGCUCCGCGAGAGAGCCAUCGGAGGGCUCCGGGAGACUGCGGCGCCACGGAGGGAGAGGCGGCGAGAGGCCCCUCUGCGAGCACCCUCUGGGCGCAGUGCGGUGGGCUAUGCUCUGCGCAGCCCCGGGCGCGCCUGGGUUCUCAGAGCCCAAGACCUGAGCCGCUCCGAGCGCAGGGCGCCAGUUCUCUUUCAGAAGCGGGAGAAGUUCAGGUGCCCAACACCUUGAUCAGUGCCUGCUUUGUAGUAGGCAUUCAAAUACUGUGGACUGGAUGAAUGGAGUCACUUCCCUUCCAACCUGCACACCAACGUGGUUGAACUGCCUCCUUUCUAAGUGCCAAAGUCUGUUUUACAAGGCUGCCCUGCUGUGCCCAUCUGGGCACCCAGUCCAGCCUCCCUUCCUGGGCGCCUUGACUCCCAACUGCAGAUGAAGUGUCUGGAAAUCAUGGUACUCAAGGUAGGAUCCACAUUGCCUGCCGGCCUAGGACCAAGAUCUGCAAGUCAGAACGAAACACCAGCUGUCCCUGUCUCCUGCACCCAUCCCCAUCCCGGAUAUCAAAGGAGCAUUACAAAAUAUUGUCUAACAGAAGUACCAGGGCUGGAUCCCAAAGUUUUGUGUAGAUCUUGAUAAAGAGUUUGGAUUUUAUUCUAACAAGAGUGAAGAGCAUGACAAUGUUUGCAGAAGAGUGAUGGCUUCUUUCAGGCAACAGUGACAAUUACACCUCCUCUUUUUCUCUUUGAUCCUCCACCCUCUCCCUCCAGCACCUGGUACAAAGCUGGGUACCCAGCAGACACUCUGUAAAUUAAAGUGCUGCCAGCCUGAACAAUCUCAGUGGAAGAGCUAAGUGGGUCCAUUUCCUUGCUUUACAAAUGAAGUCGCUGAGGCUCAGAGGGGUUAAGUUCUUUUCCUGAGCUAGGUAAUAUCUGGUUAAGUAAGAUCUGAUAAGUGUGUGUGUGUGUGUGUGUGUGUGUGUGUGUGUGUGUGUGUGUGUGUCUGUGUGCUUGGACAGGGGGUGCUUCCGCCUUUCACUGCCCCAAUAGGAGUCAGUCCUGUUCCUUUUCACUUCUCUACUUGAUGCUCUACCCACCGGCCUCAGGCCAUAUGCCCUGGUCCACCCUGCUCACAGAACUUCCCGCCUGGCCCCUGUUACCUGACCGAUGCCACAGGCAUCACUGGGUCCCAGGAGCCAGCCUCUUUACUUUUGGACCCCAGGCCAGGAUCUAAAAAUAUCUCUGAGUAUUUCCAACACCUACAACAGAUGCGCCUGCAAAUUACCUGGUCCCAGUGGUGGGGAGCAGGGGAGGAAAGGGCAUCGUUGUUCUAAAAGCAUUACACAUUUAAUUUGCAAAGUUACAUCAUGCAUUUGUGCACAGGUCAACUUUCUAGGAGUCGAUUUCGAAAACAGAGACAGGUUGAGGAUCCUGAGGGUGUUCUUUGCAGAGAAGGCAGGGGAGGUUGUGGAGGCCUGUCAGAUGCUUUCACACACUCAAGGCCAGUACUCCUCUUCCCUCUCAUAGAUGAGAAAUGAUGGACAUUCAUGGGGUCCUUUCUCUGCGUGUGCCAGGUACCUCUGCAGACACCAUUAUAUUUCUUUCUGAGAUCAACCUUGCAGAGUGUGCCUUGGUGUCAUCCUCAUCUUACAGGUGUGGAAGCUGAGGCCUAAUGAGGCCAUGUGUCUUCCGUUCCCCUUAUACACCAUGGGACAUGGGGCAGAGCAUAAGCUUGAACCCCGGUCUCUAGGUUUUUUUCUACCACACAGUGCAGUGAGAGACAUGAAGGGGGUUGAUGUGUAUGGAAUACAUAUACAUGCGCAUCCAGCUAUACUUUUAAAAAAAUUAUUAUUGGAUGGGUCUGGGUUCUCUAUUUUAUAAGUGACACAUACAACUAUUGAACCCAUGUGAGAUUAUAGCCAGGAGUGCAUAAAAAACUGUCCUCAGAACAAGUUGAAUGGGAAGUUGGUAAAAACGAAUAAGGUUGAGUUCACUCCACAGCCCCACAGAUGCAACUGAUUUAAUUGACCAAAUAGUUUUCUUGAAUUACUGUUGUUAAUUUAAGAGUUUAAAAAAAUUAACUUGAGAGUAGUUUUGUGUGCUAACCGGAUGAUUUAGAAGGUUAUUUGGUUGAUAAAAUGAAUCCUUGAUACAUUAUAGUUAUAAAGUUAAAACCCUAUUCCUUACUUAUGCUUCUAA